GUCUAUGGUCAUACCACCCUGAUCUUGUAAGAUAAGCAGUGUUGGGUCUGUUUGGUAUUUGGAUGGGAAAAAGCUAAUAAUUAUAAUCA
RNAcentral lists this ribosomal RNA (89 nucleotides) under Nannospalax galili (Upper Galilee mountains blind mole rat). Lineage: Eukaryota; Metazoa; Chordata; Mammalia; Rodentia; Spalacidae. The record is from RNAcentral.